Molecule: ribosomal RNA, 505 nt
Filed under: uncultured bacterium
Lineage: Bacteria
Description: partial 16S ribosomal RNA
Rfam family: Bacterial small subunit ribosomal RNA
Source: RNAcentral
GACGAACGCUGGCGGCGUGCCUAAUACAUGCAAGUCGAACGCACAGUUUAUACCGUAGCUUGCUACACCAUAGACUGUGAGUUGCGAACGGGUGAGUAACGCGUAGGUAACCUGCCUGGUAGCGGGGGAUAACUAUUGGAAACGAUAGCUAAUACCGCAUAAUAUUAAUUAUUGCAUGAUAAUUGAUUGAAAGAUGCAACUGCAUCACUACCAGAUGGACCUGCGUUGUAUUAGCUAGUAGGUGAGGUAACGGCUCACCUAGGCGACGAUACAUAGCCGACCUGAGAGGGUGAGCGGCCACACUGGGACUGAGACACGGCCCAGACGCCUACGGGAGGCAGCAGUAGGGAAUCUUCGGCAAUGGACGAAAGUCUGACCGAGCAACGCCGCGUGAGUGAAGAAGGUUUUCGGAUCGUAAAGCUCGGUUGUAAGAGAAGAACGGGUGUGAGAGUGGAAAGUUCACACUGUGACGGUAUCUUACCAGAAAGGGACGGCUAACUACGUG